CCAUUGAUUGCAUAGCGAGAUGAGAAUGAUCGUCACAGUAGGAGCUGAAACACGUCAAGUCCUACCGGAGCUGCAGUAGGAUCUCACAUGAGCGAAAGCUGAUGAGCACGGCGCGUGUGUGAUGAAGCUUUCGGGUCGUAAGCACUGUUGUAUGGGAAGACAGCUAGAUAGGAAAUGAUUUUAGUUUGACGGUACCAUACCAGAAAGGGACGGCUAAAUACGUGCCAGCAGCCGCGGUAAUACGUAUGUCCCCGAGCGUUAUCCGGAUUUAUUGGGCGUAAAGCGAGCGCAGACGGUUUAUUAAGUCUGAUGUGAAAGCCCGGAGCUCAACUCCGGAAUGGCAUUGGAAACUGGUUAACUUGAGUGCAGUAGAGGUAAGUGGAACUCCAUGUGUAGCGGUGGAAUGCGUAGAUAUAUGGAAGAACACCAGUGGCGAAGGCGGCUUACUGGACUGCAACUGACGUUGAGGCUCGAAAGUGUGGGUAGCAAACAGGAUUAGAUACCCUGGUAGUCCACACCGUAAACGAUGAACACUAGGUGUUAGGAGGUUUCCGCCUCUUAGUGCCGAAGCUAACGCAUUAAGUGUUCCGCCUGGGGAGUACGACCGCAAGGUUGAAACUCAAAGGAAUUGACGGGGACCCGCACAAGCGGUGGAGCAUGUGGUUUAAUUCGAAGCAACGCGAAGAACCUUACCAGGUCUUGACAUCCUUUGAAGCUUUUAGAGAUAGAAGUGUUCUCUUCGGAGACAAAGUGACAGGUGGUGCAUGGUCGUCGUCAGCUCGUGUCGUGAGAUGUUGGGUUAAGUCCCGCAACGAGCGCAACCCUUAUUGUUAGUUGCCAGCAUUCAGAUGGGCACUCUAGCGAGACUGCCGGUGACAAACCGGAGGAAGGCGGGGACGACGUCAGAUCAUCAUGCCCCUUAUGACCUGGGCUACACACGUGCUACAAUGGCGUAUACAACGAGUUGCCAACCCGCGAGGGUGAGCUAAUCUCUUAAAGUACGUCUCAGUUCGGAUUGUAGUCUGCAACUCGACUACAUGAAGUCGGAAUCGCUAGUAAUCGCGGAUCAGCACGCCGCGGUGAAUACGUUCCCGGGUCUUGUACACACCGCCCGUCACACCAUGGGAGUUUGUAAUGCCCAAAGCCGGUGGCCUAACCUUUAGGAAGGAGCCGUCUAAGCAAGAACAAGAUGU
This 1193-nucleotide ribosomal RNA is filed under the name Pediococcus pentosaceus. RNAcentral's name for it is "bacterial SSU rRNA". It matches the Rfam family "Bacterial small subunit ribosomal RNA", at positions 273 to 1474 of the family's 1533-position model. Lineage: Bacteria; Bacillati; Bacillota; Bacilli; Lactobacillales; Lactobacillaceae. The record is from RNAcentral.